Anthonomus grandis grandis is the source of this 610-nucleotide long non-coding RNA. RefSeq lists it as uncharacterized. The transcript is spliced from 2 exons. Lineage: Eukaryota; Metazoa; Arthropoda; Insecta; Coleoptera; Curculionidae. The record is from RefSeq and is a predicted model, not a curated record.
CGAAAUACCUUCAUGUCAUCGGCAAGCCAUAGAAACUUACUGACAAUACUCGUGAAAAUGUCAGUGAUAAAAAUCAAAAUGGAGCUAGAUUUCUUCCUUGGAGGGUACAACUUGAGGCAAUAAAUAAUAUCAUGGUCCAACCGAUCAAAGGCCUUCUGUAGCAAAAUCUGUGUAGAUUACAUCAAGUUGACAUUUGCCGUCCCUAGCCUCAGCAGAAAGGUUAAAUUAGCGACUCUUGUACCCUAACCUGAAAAAAGCUGAUUACAGCUUGCUAUUAAACAGAUUGCUAUAAUAGUGCAGGUCCCAAGGGCCUUAGAAAAAUUAAUCAAAAUAAAGAUUGGGCGAUAGUUUUCCACCAUAAUUCUUUCUUCUGACUUAAAAACUGGGAAAAUAUUUGCUUGUUUCCAGACGUUAGAAAAAGUGCUUCGGCAUAGUGACAAAUUAAAAGCAAAAACACAAUAACAUAGAAGAAAUAAAGGAAUACUGUGAAGCCCUUCAGUCAGCUUAUUUUUUAGUUUUUUAAAAUAAGAUAAUAUAUUCACAUGAUUUAAAUAUUUUGAGAAGCAGUAAUAAUGUACACCCUGUAUAUUAAAUAAAUACUUAAAUCUGC